AUUGAACGCUGGCGGAAUGCUUUACACAUGCAAGUCGAACGGCAGCACGGACUUCGGUCUGGUGGCGAGUGGCGAACGGGUGAGUAAUGUAUCGGAACGUGCCCAGUCGUGGGGGAUAACGUAGUGAAAAUUACGCGAAUACCGCAUACGAUCUAUGGAUGAAAGCGAGGGAUCGCAAGACCUCGCGCAAUGGCAGCGGCCGAUAUCAGAUUAGGUAGUUGGUGGGGUAAAGGCCCACCAAGCCGACGAUCUGUAGCUGGUCUGAGAGGACGACCAGCCACACUGGAACUGAGACACGGUCCAGACUCCUACGGGAGGCAGCAGUGGGGAAUUUUGGACAAUGGGCGAAAGCCUGAUCCAGCCAUUCCGCGUGCAGGAUGAAGGCCCUCGGGUUGUAAACUACUUUUGUACAGAACGAAAAGGUUUCUACUAAUACUAGGAGCUCAUGACGGUACUGUAAGAAUAAGCACCGGCUAACUACGUGCCAGCCGCCGCGGUAA
RNAcentral lists this ribosomal RNA (500 nucleotides) under uncultured bacterium. Its description in RNAcentral is "partial 16S ribosomal RNA". It matches the Rfam family "Bacterial small subunit ribosomal RNA", at positions 30 to 523 of the family's 1533-position model. The record is from RNAcentral.